This 5316-nucleotide unclassified non-coding RNA is filed under the name Haliotis rufescens (red abalone). RNAcentral describes it as "nuclear transcription factor Y subunit gamma-like, transcript variant X7". Lineage: Eukaryota; Metazoa; Mollusca; Gastropoda; Lepetellida; Haliotidae. The record is from RNAcentral.
AGUUCAUUGUGAGGUCAUUCAUCCAAUCAGAAAAGCCGCCAUCUUAGGAAAGUAUUUCUUUCUAGGUUGUGUUUGCAAAAAAUAUUUAAUAAGCACAUAGAUGACCAUGGCGUCGGAUCCCAACUUCCAAGCCUCCAUGCAGAUGUCUGGCAUCACAGAACAAGCACAGCUGAUGUUGACAGAAUUCUGGCCCAAGACACUGGAAAAUAUACAGAACCUCCAAUAUAAUGAUUUUAAGGGGCAGGAACUCCCCCUUGCUAGAAUAAAAAAGAUCAUGAAACUUGAUGAAGAUGUAAAGAUGAUAAGUGCGGAGGCUCCAGUGUUGUUUGCCAAGGCAGCGGAGAUAUUUAUAAGUGAGCUGUCACUUAGAGCCUGGAUCCACACCGAGGACAACAAGAGGAGGACACUGCAGAGAAAUGACAUAGCAAUGGCCAUUUCAAAGUUUGACCAAUUCGAUUUCUUGAUUGACAUCGUGCCCAGAGAUGAACUGAAACCGCCAAAGAGACCAGAGGAUUCUUCUCGAGUGUCCAAUAACCUCCCGGAUCAAAUCAACUACUAUCUCCAACUAGCGCAGCAACAGUCUCAACAACAACAGCAGCAGCAGCAACAACAGCAGCAACAACAGCAACAGCAGCAGCAACAACAACAACAACAACAACAGCAGCAGCAGCAGACUGUUGUAGCACAGCCAGCCCCUGCAACUCAACCCGCAGCACAGGUGGUGACGGCAGCAGCAGCAACAACACAGGCAGUGGCGCAACCCAAUGUUAUGGCAAUACAGCUGCCAUCGGGUCAGAUCAUACAACAGCCUCUACAGUUCCAGGCUCAGCCCCAGGUGAUCCAAGUACAAGCACCUCAACAGGUGCAGCAAGUACAGCAAGUACAACAACUACAGCAGGUGCAACAGAUGCAGCAGCAGCAACAACAGCAACAGCAGGUGCUUGUACAGCAGGCACAAACAGCAGUAGCACCAGCCCAGCCGCAGCAGCAACAGCAGCAGCAACAGCAGCAGCCACAGACACAAGUGUAUCAGCAGGUGCUCACACCCUCGGGGGAGCUGCAGACUGUACCUGUGACGUUAUCGUCCGCCCAGCUUCAGGCCAUCCAGAUGCAGCUGCAGGGCAAGCAGGGGGACCAGCCAAUCAUCAUUCAGAUGAAUCAGGGCUUGCAGUCGGGAGCAACAGCACAGCCCCAGCAGACACAACAGACUUUCACACAGCCGAUGUACCAGAUUCAGCAGGUGGGCCAGGGGGGCCAGCAGAUUGUCAUACAUCAAGGAGGUGGAGACUCGGACAACCAGGCUGAUGGGCAGGAAACAUCAUAACACUUGCAGUGUACACUGUAGCAGCCAUCUAGCACACCUGUGUGUUCCGUCACACCGCCUCAGGAGCCAGUGUGAAUAGUGGGACAUUAGGCCAUAAGGGAACACCAGACAUUUGACUUUGGGAUGUGUUCAGAACAUGACGCCACAAAUGACAUGAGAAAAAAACAGACAUGUGGACUUCACUUACUUUUGAACAUACUGAUAUGUGGAUAUCAAGGAUAUGUGAACAUACGCAAGUGGAUAUCAAGGAUAUGUGAACACACAGAUCUGUGAAUAUCAUGAACAUGGGCCUAUACAGAUGUGCAAAUAUCAAUGACAUGAACAUUCAGAUAUGUGAAUAUCGAGGACAUGCGAACAUCAUAAAUAUGAAUUUGAAUGUAUGUCAUUUUAGAAGAACAAAACAGCUCAUGAGACUGAAAGACUCUUUUUGUUUAAUACAUGAUAGUGAUGUUGAAGUACUUAAUAUUGUGACAUCACAAACACUAUGACAACUGGGAUCUGCAUGUCAUUGUCAAGAUUAAUGACACAGUCAGAUGAUGCCAAAAUAUUUCUUUGUACUUUGUGAUGGUAACUUUUAUGUUAUUUUUGUAUUGUAUUCCUUAGCCUAUUAGGAUUCUGGGUCCUUGCAUGCUUAGUCUUGAAUUUGUUCCGUGACAUUUUCUUACAGGUGAAUCAAGAUUGUACAAUUGUUGGUAACCCUGUGAGAACUUUGUGUUGUUUUUACUGUGUUUGCAGACUUGAAAACCAUAAAUGUGUUGCAUUGUUCAUCUGACUAAGCAAGUUCACAUCUCCUAAUGGUGCAGUUGGUGGGUAAGGGAUGUUUUGUUGACUCAUCAGCAAUUCAGGGGAAAUGGGUGUCCAAGUCGUCUAAAUAUGCCACAAUUCACUGUACAGAGUUGUGUUUCUUAGGUAUGCCAGACCUAUGAUUGUGGGUUCGAAUCCCAGUUGGCCCUAAUUAUGAGUCUAGGUUUGUCAGCACCAUACCCUGCUUGUUGGUUUCACCAAAUGGUAAACAUCAAAGACCUGCAUCACUUUGGACUUUCCGUGAUAUAACUGCAAUACUGUUCAAAGCGACGUUAAACCCAACUCACUCAUAUAUGUCGCAUCACUGAUACAAACAGUUGUUAUAGAAUACCUUCAUAUUAUUGUUUUAUUUAUUACUUUUGUGUUCUAGGGAACAUCCUAUCGUAGUCUGUAAACCAUGAAAUGGUUAUUCAGAAUAGGCAGCUAUUGCUAGAAAUUGACCAUGUUUUUGCUACUUUAAUUUUACAACAUUGUUAUUGACAUUGUCCAUGUUCAUAAGUUCAAAGCUUCAUCCACCUGACAUUAUCAGAGAGUUUAUUGUACUGAGAGUUUGCACAGAUAUUGAAUGUCUUACAUUAAUAAAGGCUUCACCAAGGCCGUCAAUCAGAAUAUCUCUGUUAUGGACACAGUGAUGUAUAUUCACUCCCCGUUUGGGGGCGGUCGGGUAGCCUGCUGGUUAAAGUGUUCGCUCGUCAUGCCAAAGACCGGGUUCGAUUCCCAACAUUGGUACAAUGUGUGAAGCCCAUUUCUGGUGUCGGACGCCGUGAUAUUGCUGGAAUAUUGCUAAAAGCGGCGUAAAACCAUAUUCACUCACUCACUCCCCAUUUGGGUGUGUAGGAGUUCAGAUAAUUGAGCUCUAGAAAUUCGUUUAUCAGAGUGCUUACUUUAGAAAAAGAGUACAUUCAUGUGUAAUUAAUGUAAUAGCAGAAACAGUAGCUGCAAAAAAUGUUUGUUUCUUAUCUAGAUUUCUGAUAUUGAAAGUGACUUCUGUCAGUGUGUGUAAUUAAUGAAAUUGCAGAAAAAGUAGCCUGUCUAUUACCAUUGUGGUUGUUUUUUUCUGGGCUUCUGAUAUUGAAUAUGACUUCUGUCAAUGUGAGUGAGAGUUAUUAAGCCUAAGAUAGUCUCAGUAGGGUUAUAAAAUCUGUAAAUAUGAGACCUUAACCACUGCUUUGUUGUCUGUGUUAAGAAGUAGAAGACUUCUUGUUUGCGGGAAGGUAAGCCAAACUAGUAUUGGAAUUGAAUAUAUAUUUUGUUGUGUUUAGAAAUUCUGUGCAGAAGGAAGCUCUGUAACUUGAUAAUCAGCAGCAUUUGGAUGAGGACUGCGCGUCCUUGUCAUGAAAGUAUUAAGAGGGUCCUGAUGCUGUACACUGUUUAGCAUAAAACAACUAAAGAAAACUAUGGUAUAGUAAGAUGAAUCCGAUUUUUUAUCAUUAAAGAUUAAUGUUAAAUGUAAAACAAAAACCCUGCUUAGCAUACAGUAAACCUUUCCUGUUUAUUGAAUUGCAUAAAUUCUUGAAAAAGAAUGAUUUAACUGGACCUAAUGACCCAGCAAAAUUUGGUAUUUUCAAAACAAAUUGCAGUAAUGAAAGGAACGCAGAUCCAGUUGUCCCUUGGUUUCCCUACAUACAGGCUGAUGUUCCCAUUCCCAUAGAGAUGAUUUUGCGUUUUAGGUUCAGCUGGACAGCUUGUCCACUUUUCCAGUAUUUGUUUUUACUCAGAUGAAAAAAUAAUGACUGCUGACUAAAGGGCCCACAUUUUACUGACUUGUAACAACCCCCCCCCCCCCAUCAAGACCCUCUAUUAAUGCAGUUGUUGGUGAUGUAAUCAUGCUGAAGAUUUUCUCUGUCGUUUCAUGAACUGCAAAUAUGUUAAAUAGUUUAUGAUCAUCAGAUAAUGUGUGAAGUAUUCCCCAACAUUGCAAAAUAUCUAUUCUAUUUUCUGUGUUUCAAAUGUUCUUUAACCAUGUCAGCAUAUUGUUGUUUUCAAAUAUGAGUAUUACUAGUUAAUAGAAAUCAAGGCCUGGCCUCAAAUGCAGAAAUUCUUACACAAAAACCAAUAUCCUGUCAGAGACCAACAUGAUAACAUGAUGUAACCAUGGUAACAUCUGCAUCUUGCCUCUCACAGGACUUGUGUCCUUUGGUUAAAGUCUUCCAGGGGCAUAUCGGUGUAAUGUUACCACAUGUAGAUGAGUUGGAGGUCAUGUAAUAUUACCAGCUGUAGAUGAGUUUGGAGGCCGUGUAAUGUUACCACCUGUAGAUGAGUUGGGGGUCGUGUAAUGUUACCACCUGUAGAUGAGUUGGAGGUGGUGUAAUGUUACCACCUGUAGAUGAGUUGGAGGUGGUGUAAUGUUACCACCUGUAGAUGAGUUGGAGGUCGUGUAAUGUUACCACCUGCAGAUGAGUUGGAGGUCGUGUAAUGUUACCACCUGAAGAUGAGUUGGAGGUGGUGUAAUGUUACCACCUGCAGAUGAGUUGGAGGUCGGGUCAUGUUACCACCUGCAGAUGAGUUGGAGGCUGUGUAAUGUUACCACCUGCAGAUGAGUUGGAGGUCGUGUAAUGUUACCACCUGCAGAUGAGUUGGAGGUCGUGUAAUGUUACCACCUGCAGAUGAGUUUGGAGGCCCUGUAAUGUUACCACCUGCAGAUGAGUUUGGAGGCAGUGUAAUGUUACCUCCUGUAGAAGAGCUUCGAGGCUGUGUAAUGUUACCACCUGCAGAUGAGUUGGAGGUCGUGUAAUGUUACCACCUGCAGAUGAGUUUGGAGGCCCUGUAAUGUUACCACCUGCAGAUGAGUUUGGAGGCAGUGUAAUGUUACCUCCUGUAGAUGAGUUGGAGGCUGUGUAAUGUUACCACCUGUAGAUGAGUUUGGAGGCUUCAUGCAUUUGUUACUAUAUCAUUAUCGGGUUUGUUGGGCUGUCCUGAUACAGCUGGAAUAUAGCUGACCUCAGCAUUAAACAACAUUCACGAACUCUAUUAUGUCAAAUCUUUAAACUUGGUUAGAAUACUUGCAAUAUUUAUGUACUUUUACUAUAGAGAUUGAAACUGUAAGCAAAGAAAAAAUAAACAAUCCUGGUGACAUGGUGCUGAUGCUGUUUGUGACAGGCACCUCCGUGUGAAGGUUGUAGCCCAGCAUGUAGGACAUGUAACUCAUUGUUGAAUUCAUCUGACAAAUAAAACAAAUAUAUCCUUAA